UGCACCGAAGCUGCGGCAGCGAACGUAUCACUUAAAGCGAUUCAGCGGAUGACGAUUGACGGAGCGAAGCGACGUCAAAGCGUAUACAAAGUCGAGUCGGUUUAAGGAUACGUUCGUUGGGUAGGGGAGCGUUCUGUAAGCCUGCGAAGGUGGCCUGUGAGGGUUGCUGGAGGUAUCAGAAGUGCGAAUGCUGACAUAAGUAACGAUAAAGCGGGUGAAAAGCCCGCUCGCCGGAAGACCAAGGGUUCCUGUCCAACGUUAAUCGGGGCAGGGUGAGUCGACCCCUAAGGCGAGGCCGAAAGGCGUAGUCGAUGGGAAACGGGUUAAUAUUCCCGUACUUGGUGUUACUGCGAAGGGGGGACGGAGAAGGCUAUGUUGGCCGGGCGACGGUUGUCCCGGUUUAAGCGUGUAGGUGUGUGUUCCAGGUAAAUCCGGUUCACUUUAACACUGAGGCGUGACGACGAGGCACUACGGUGCUGAAGCAACAAAUGCCCUGCUUCCAGGAAAAGCCUCUAAGCAUCAGGUAACAUCAAAUCGUACCCCAAACCGACACAGGUGGUCAGGUAGAGAAUACCAAGGCGCUUGAGAGAACUCGGGUGAAGGAACUAGGCAAAAUGGUGCCGUAACUUCGGGAGAAGGCACGCUGACACGUAGGUGAAGUGAUUUACUCAUGGAGCUGAAGUCAGUCGAAGAUACCAGCUGGCUGCAACUGUUUAUUAAAAACACAGCACUGUGCAAACACGAAAGUGGACGUAUACGGUGUGACGCCUGCCCGGUGCCGGAAGGUUAAUUGAUGGGGUCAGCGCAAGCGAAGCUCCUGAUCGAAGCCCCGGUAAACGGCGGCCGUAACUAUAACGGUCCUAAGGUAGCGAAAUUCCUUGUCGGGUAAGUUCCGACCUGCACGAAUGGCGUAAUGAUGGCCAGGCUGUCUCCACCCGAGACUCAGUGAAAUUGAACUCGCUGUGAAGAUGCAGUGUACCCGCGGCAAGACGGAAAGACCCCGUGAACCUUUACUAUAGCUUGACACUGAACAUUGAGCCUUGAUGUGUAGGAUAGGUGGGAGGCUUUGAAGUGUGGACGCCAGUCUGCAUGGAGCCGACCUUGAAAUACCACCCUUUAAUGUUUGAUGUUCUAACGUGGACCCGUAAUCCGGGUUGCGGACAGUGUCUGGUGGGUAGUUUGACUGGGGCGGUCUCCUCCUAAAGAGUAACGGAGGAGCACGAAGGUUGGCUAAUCCUGGUCGGACAUCAGGAGGUUAGUGCAAUGGCAUAAGCCAGCUUGACUGCGAGCGUGACGGCGCGAGCAGGUGCGAAAGCAGGUCAUAGUGAUCCGGUGGUUCUGAAUGGAAGGGCCAUCGCUCAACGGAUAAAAGGUACUCCGGGGAUAACAGGCUGAUACCGCCCAAGAGUUCAUAUCGACGGCGGUGUUUGGCACCUCGAUGUCGGCUCAUCACAUCCUGGGGCUGAAGUAGGUCCCAAGGGUAUGGCUGUUCGCCAUUUAAAGUGGUACGCGAGCUGGGUUUAGAACGUCGUGAGACAGUUCGGUCCCUAUCUGCCGUGGGCGCUGGAGAACUGAGGGGGGCUGCUCCUAGUACGAGAGGACCGGAGUGGACGCAUCACUGGUGUUCGGGUUGUCAUGCCAAUGGCACUGCCCGGUAGCUAAAUGCGGAAGAGAUAAGUGCUGAAAGCAUCUAAGCACGAAACUUGCCCCGA
RNAcentral lists this ribosomal RNA (1712 nucleotides) under Salmonella enterica. Its description in RNAcentral is "partial 23S ribosomal RNA". It matches the Rfam family "Bacterial large subunit ribosomal RNA", at positions 1190 to 2802 of the family's 2925-position model. Lineage: Bacteria; Pseudomonadati; Pseudomonadota; Gammaproteobacteria; Enterobacterales; Enterobacteriaceae. The record is from RNAcentral.